GACGAACGCUGGCGGCGUGCUUAACACAUGCAAGUCGAACGGAAAGGCCCUGCUUUGGUGGGGUGCUCGGGGGGCGAACGGGGGAGUAACACGUGAGUAACCUGCCCUUGACUGUGGGAUAAGUUAAGGAAAGUGGGGCUAAUACGGGAUAGGAGCUCCUGCUGCAGGGUGGGGGCGGGAAAGUUUCGGCGGUUGGGGAUGGACUCGCGGCUUAUCAGCUUGAUGGUGGGGUAGUGGCUUACCAAGGCCUGGACGGGUAGCCGGCCUGAGAGGGUGACCGGCCACAUUGGGCCUGAGCUACGGCCCGGACUCCUACGGGACGCAGCAGUGCGGAAUAUUGCACAAUGGGCGGAACCCUGAUGCAGCAACGCCGCGUGCGGUAUGACGUCCUUCGGGUUGUAUUCUGCUUUCGUCUUUGCCGAAGCGUGAGUGACGGUAAUGGGUAAAGAAGCACCGGCUAACUACGUG
Molecule: ribosomal RNA, 468 nt
Filed under: uncultured bacterium
Lineage: Bacteria
Description: partial 16S ribosomal RNA
Rfam family: Bacterial small subunit ribosomal RNA
Source: RNAcentral